Molecule: ribosomal RNA, 236 nt
Filed under: uncultured Candidatus Saccharibacteria bacterium
Lineage: Bacteria; Candidatus Saccharimonadota
Description: partial 16S ribosomal RNA
Rfam family: Bacterial small subunit ribosomal RNA
Source: RNAcentral
UAAGUAGAUAGUGAAAUCUGGCGGCUCAACCGUACAGGCUAUUAUCUAAACUGGCAAACUCGAGAAUGGUAGAGGUAACUGGAAUUUCUUGUGUAGGAGUGAAAUCCGUAGAUAUAAGAAGGAACACCAAUGGCGUAGGCAGGUUACUGGACCAUUUCUGACACUGAGGCACGAAAGCGUGGGGAGCGAACGGGAUUAGAUACCCCGGUAGUCCACGCCGUAAACUAUGGAUACUA